CUACUUCUUCUUUUUCAUCUCAUCUUUUUCUUUAUCUAUAGAUGAACCACUAUGAAAACCUGAAGUAUGAGAGGGCUUUUCCUUCUCAACAUACCCCCUCAAGUUAGAGGGGAACUUAGUGACCCCUAUCUUGCCCAAAAUAUCUCGAUGAGAAACCCCAGAAAGAGGCUUCGUAAAGAUGUCUGCAAGCUAUGCUUUAGAAGGAACGAAAGAAAGAGUAAUUAACCCAGAAAGAAAUCGUUGACGUACAAAAUAACAGUAAAUUUCGACAUGUUUUGUGCGUUUAUGAAAGAUGGGAUUUCGGGAAAUUUGAAUCUCUUCCUUACUAUUAGAAUGAAGAGGAAUUGGUAAAGUGACCGGUGCAGAUAGAUCCUCAAGAAUUUUAACCCAACCAGGUAAGCUCUGCAGUGACCCUUCUCAUAGAUCUAUAUUCUGCUUCUGCAGAGGAUAAAGAAAUUGUGAUAUGCUUCUUUGAUUUUCAGGAGAUGGGUGCUCCUCCUAGAGUGAUAAAGAAACCACUAACAGACCUUCUAGAAUUCCUGCAGGAAGCCUAGUCAGCAUCACAGAAUGCGAGCUAAGAGAAAGAUGGAUCAGCUGAUAGUAGAAUGAUUGUCCUGGAUCAGAACUGAGGUAUUUAAGAACUCGUAAAGAAGCAGAGAUGAGACACACAUGGCUUCUACAUGUAUUGACUGAGGGUAAGUACAACAAAAUAAUGAUCUGGUCUAGUAUUUGUUACAUAAUUCAACUUUCUGACUAGAUGACAAAAUAUAGUUGGGUUUUGCAAAUAUUCUCCAUCAUCAGCCUGUAGUUUGAGGGCAGGAUCCAAAGGAGAACUGACUCGAGGAAAAUGAGACACAUCAAAUUCCUGAAACAUGUCUAAGGUGAAUUCUCUUUGACUCACAAAAAAUCUUGCUUGUUCUAUCAAAAUUUUCAUACUUAGAAAGAGUGUAUAAUUCCCAAGUUUUUUACUUUAAACUCACUAUUAAGAAAAUCUUUUAUGCCUUGAAUUUCUGCUAAGUCAUCUCCUGUGAUUAAUAUGUCAUCAACAUAAACAGUUAAGAUAGAGAUAAGGCCGCAUAUGCGUUUAAAGAACAAAGAAUAGUCAUUUAUUGAUGAAGAAUAUCCUUUAAAACUUAGGGCUCCUACAAGUCUAGCAUACCACUGCCUAGAUGUUUGCUUUAAACCAUAUAGGGACUUCUUCAAAAGAAAAACAUGUUUAAGACUAGGAGAAUCCAUACCUACUGGAAAUCUCAUAUAUACUUCUUCUUACAAAUCUCCAUGCAAGAACACAUUGUUCACAUCUAGGUGAGUAACAUUCCAAUCUUUCUUGGCAGCAAUAGUGAGUAGACACCUUAUGGUUGUCAUUUUCACCUUUGGUGAAAAAGUCUCACUGUAAUCUAUUCCUUAUCUUUGAAUAUCCCCCCUGACCACCAAACCUUCCUUCAAACUUUGAACUCUGUCAUCUGAUAAGUGUUCUACCUUGUAUGUCCAUUUACAAGGUAAAGCUCUUUUCCUUUUAGGUAAUUCAACCACAUCCCACUUGUGCUUGUCUUCUAGAGCUUUAAUUUCUACAUUCAUAGCUUCUAUACAUCCUGUAUAUUGACAAGCCUGACUCAAAGUAGAGGGUUCUGUUAGGGUAGAAAGGGAUUGCAUUACAUGUUGGUUAUUAGAUUAGAGAAAUGAAAAAAAAUACUCAAUAGGUUGACAGGGUUGAGUAAAACAAUUUGUGGCUAAAUAUAUGAACAUGAUGUUAUUACAAAUAAAAUCUUUCAGGUUGAUUGGUUGUGUAGAAACUCUUCCCGAUCUCCUCACUGCAUAGGUUCUUUAGGUGUAGAAGAAAGCGUCCUGGUGUGUGAUGACUCUAGGCUAGGAGAGAUUAGAGUUUGUGAUUAUGGAGAAACUGAAUGGUGAUGAGAAAUGUGAGGGGGGCUGGAUGAUUGUGGUAGAAAAAUAUCUGUUGCAUCAUAUUCUAAAGAAGCAUGUUGUGUUUCAUCUUGGAAUGUGGUUGACUAGGUAGGUUUAGUUGUGAAAAUUUAAGUUGGAAAAAUAGAUGGUGUUCUAAGUUUGUUUUUGUAAAGGGAAAACGUGACUCAUGAAAUUCCACGUCCCUAGACACAAAUAAUUUCCCUGUAGACAACACCAAAAGUUUAUAUCCUUUCUGUUGAAGAGGGUAACCAAGUAAACACACAAGUUGUUGCCCAAUCAUCAAACGUCCCUCUACCCUAUUUCAAAGUAGAGGCAUAGCAUAGACAUCCAAAGUUCCUCAAAUAGUUAUACUUAGGUUUGUGUUGAAAUAAGACCUAAAAUGGUGUCUUUUCUUGAAGAAUGCUAGAAGGCAACCUAUUAAUAAUGUGUGUGGCAGUUAGAAUAGAUUCACCCCAAUAUUACAUAGGAAGUAUGGAUUGAAACAUUAGACCUCUAGCAAUUUCUAAGAGAUAUCUAUGUUUUCUCUCAACAAUCUCAUUAUGUUGAGGUAUUUCUAGACAAGAAACCUGGUGCAUAAUUCCUUAUGAAGCAAGAAAAGCUGCUUCUUGUGUCACUUUCCCUAAUUCUAGAGUAUUAUCAGACCUUAUCAAUUUCACCUUUGAAUUGAACUGUCUUUCAACCAUGGACAAGAAAGAUUUGAGCAUGGGAAAUGCAUUGCUCUUAGAAGACAAUAAAAAUGUCCAUGUUCCUCUACUAUAUUCAUCUACUAUAGUAAGAAAAUAUCUGAACCCAUCAUAGGUAUUAGACUUGUAAGUUCCCCAUGUAUCUAUAUGUAUGAGAUCAAAAACAUUUCUAGAUUUAAUAUUGCUUACUCGGAAAGGUUUCAUUAUCUGCCCAACCUUAGGACAACCAUCACAAAUAAAAUUAGAGUUCGAGUCACAAUGAAGAAAAUCCAAAUGUUUCAUUGCUGAAAAUGGGAGAUGUCCCAACCUUACAUGACAAAGUUUAAUAUUAGGACUAGCACUAACAUGAACAUGACUAGAAAAAGACAUAGACUCUGAAAUGGAAUUUCUUCCUUUCUGAAUUAAAGAUACAUUACUACUGAAUAGACCCUUAUACUUAAGUUUACUAGGUUCUAAUUGUUAGAUAAUACGGUUAACGCUAGAGGGGGG
Molecule: long non-coding RNA, 3098 nt
Filed under: Nicotiana benthamiana
Lineage: Eukaryota; Viridiplantae; Streptophyta; Magnoliopsida; Solanales; Solanaceae
Description: long non-coding RNA (NBEN_LNC013907)
Source: RNAcentral